Molecule: ribosomal RNA, 497 nt
Filed under: uncultured bacterium
Lineage: Bacteria
Description: partial 16S ribosomal RNA
Rfam family: Bacterial small subunit ribosomal RNA
Source: RNAcentral
GAUGAACGCUGGCGGCGUGCCUAAUACAUGCAAGUCGAGCGAACAGACGAGGAGCUUGCUCCUCUGACGUUAGCGGCGGGCGGGUGAGUAACACGUGGAUAACCUACCUAUAAGACUGGGAUAACUUCGGGAAACCGGAGCUAAUACCGGAUAAUAUAUUGAACCGCAUGGUUCAAUAGUGAAAGACGGUUUUGCUGUCACUUAUAGAUGGAUCCGCGCCGCAUUAGCUAGUUGGUAAGGUAACGGCUUACCAAGGCAAUGAUGCGUAGCCGACCUGAGAGGGUGAUCGGCCACACUGGAACUGAGACACAGUCCAGACUCCUACGGGAGGCAGCAGUAGGGAAUCUUCCGCAAUGGGCGAAAGCCUGACGGAGCAACGCCGCGUGAGUGAUGAAGGUCUUCGGAUCGUAAAACUCUGUUAUUAGGGAAGAACAAAUGUGUAAGUAACUAUGCACGUCUUGACGGUACCUAAUCAGAAAGCCACGGCUAACUACGUG